RNAcentral lists this microRNA precursor (59 nucleotides) under Caenorhabditis briggsae. Its description in RNAcentral is "mir-7583 microRNA precursor family". It matches the Rfam family "mir-7583 microRNA precursor family". Lineage: Eukaryota; Metazoa; Nematoda; Chromadorea; Rhabditida; Rhabditidae. The record is from Rfam by way of RNAcentral.
AGUUACAAAUAUCGUGAUGGGAUUGAAAGGUGUCCUUGCCAUCCGGUGUUUGUGGUUGG